Thalassophryne amazonica is the source of this 175-nucleotide long non-coding RNA. RefSeq lists it as uncharacterized. The transcript is spliced from 3 exons. The record is from RefSeq and is a predicted model, not a curated record. NCBI's taxonomy places the organism in Eukaryota, Metazoa, Chordata, Actinopteri, Batrachoidiformes, Batrachoididae.
UAUUCCGGGAACGCUGACAAAGAUAUUGUGAUGUUUCUGUUGCACUCUUGGCAUAUUGCACGUUUUCACGUUUCACAUUUUCGGCACCCUGAGUGACAUGGUUGUUGUGAGUAAUGACAUCUGUUGCAGAACCACAUUCAUGUAGUAUUCUGUCGAAUAAAUCUUCUCAACUCAA